AUAAUUUAUCUCUCUUUCCUCCUCUUUUGAUGCGCCCAUUACAGAAUCAUUAAAGAAAUUCGAAAUAUGCUCACAGCAAAAACUUUAAAACAUUUUUAUCCAAGAUGUUGGAUAAGGUCGAAAUAUAUAUUGUCUGUAAAGGGACUUUCGGUGAUAGAUGCGACCAAUAUUGAAAUGUAGAAACUCUAUAUAUCGGGGUUUCAAAUAGUGUUGUAAUACAAUUUCUAUCAAUUCUUGUCUUCAGUGAAUUCCCACUCAAUUCUUAGUUAUAACAAACCGAUGGCAAUAUUUCUCAUUCUCAACCCUUUAUCAAAAGUUUAUCGAAAAUUAUUCAACAAAUUAUUUUAUAACUAAAUAUUUCUGCGCUAAUGUUUAGAAAAUAACAAUUCUUUUACUCUUUUUCUCAUCAUAAAAGAUGUCAAAAAUACUAUUAUAGAAGUUAAUUCGGAGAUCCUGUCUUUGCUGUAAUAUUCUAUUUCAUGUAUUCGCUCUGAGUAUUACACACCGCUAACAUCAAGCAUUCCUCUAUUGUAAGUGUUUUUAGACAUGAUCAUGGACAAAGAAUCAAUCUUUCUCUUGUAGAAGCUAUAUUCGGAGAUCCUGUCUCCGCUGUAAUAUUCUAUUUCAUGUAUUUGUUCUGAGUAUCACACACCGCUUACAUCAAGCACUUCUCUAUUGUAAGUGUUUCUAUACAUGAUCAUGGACAAAGAAUCAGUAUUUCUCAUGUAGAAGCUAUAUUCGGAGAUCCUGUCUCUGCUGUAAUAUUCUAUUUCAUGUAUUUGCUCUGAGUAUUACACACCGCUAACAUCAAGCACUUCUCUAUUGUAAGUGUUUCUAUACAUGAUCAUGGACAAAGAAUCAAUCUUACUAUUGUAGAAGCUAUAUUCGGAGAUCCUGUCUUUGCUGUAAUAUUCGAUUUCAUGUAUUCGCUCUGAGUAUUACACGCCGCUUACAUCAAGCAUUCCUCAUUUGCAAGUGUUUCUAUACAUGAUCAUGGACAAAUAAUCAAUCUUCCUCUUGUAGAAGCUAUAUUCGGAGAUCCUGUCUCCGCUGUAAUAUUCUAUUUCAUGUAUUCGCUCUGAGUAUUACACGCCGCUUACAUCAAGCAUUCCUCAUUUGCAAGUGUUUCAAUACAUGAUCAUGGACAAAGAAUCAGUCUUUCUCUUGUAGAAGCUAUAUUCGAAGAUCCUGUCUCCGCUGUAAUAUUCUAUUUCAUGUAUUCGCUCUAAGUAUAGAGUUUUAAAGAAAGUGUUAUAGAGAGCUAUUACACAACACUGACAUCAAGCACUCCUCUAUUGUGUUUCUAGACGUGAUUAUCGACAAAGACUGCACAGAAUAGAUUUCAUGUAUUCGCUCUGAGUAUAGAGUUUUGAAGAAAGAGUUAUAUAUAUUUAAAAUAAUGAAAGCAUAUCCUGACCAGGAGCACAUGUGUUUUUUAGAUGGCAGAGCGCCAUCUAGUGGAACAUAAAUCAACUAAACAUUGAUUUAACCUAUUACACAACCACUGACAUCAAGCUCUCCUCUUUAGUAAGUGUUUCUGGAGAUAAUCACACAUCGAUAAAGACUGCAACUUUAUAAUGAUUCAGAAUAUAAUUGAUGUAUUCGCUCUGAGUAUAGAGUUUCAAGACAUCAAACACUCCUCUAUUGCAAGUGUUUCUAGACAUGAUUAUCGACAAAGACUGUAACUCUAAAAUGAUCCAGAAUAGAUUGAAAUAUAUGGGAAUAUAAUUUCAUGACAAAAUAUUAAGACAAUCGGAAAGUAAAUCUCUGAGGAUCCUCCACGGAUGACUUUCGUGCCAAGUUGCCGCCAGCUAAUGAGUCCAUUAUAAACAAUGGCUGUACUUCCUGGGAGCUUCACCUCGCCGCUGUGCCCAGGGCAGCUUGUUAGUCCUGCCUGGACGCUACAAAUUGGUGUUUCGUGAUCUGGGCCACAUUUCUGCUCCUUUAUUCUAUUUAUUGGUCUCAGAGUGUAGUGAAUCAUUGAAGGAAGGAUUGUUGACUUUGCUUAUGGAAUUUUUAAAGAUACUGAUUCCAAGAAGGUUAAUUAAACAUUAUUGAUUUACAAGAGAGAGAACGAAAUUAAAGAGAAACUUAUAACAUAGUAAAACAAAGAGAAACUUUUCUUCUUACGGUUAACACCUUUAAUACUUGUGAUCUUGCACAUAUACUUUUUGGGAACAAUUAAUUAAUUAAACUCUUAUGAUACAAGAGAGAUCUUUCUUCGAAUUAAAGAUACUUCGGCCAGUAAAUCUUUUUAUUAUCUCGAUGUUUCGACAAAAAUCUUUGGUCCUCGUCAAGAACAAACAAAAAUUAAAACAUUUGGCAAAGCGUUAAAAAUUAUUCUAUAAGAAUAAAUCUUUAAUUUGCCGAACUAUGAAUGCUGGCCAGGCAGCCUCUAUCUUUAUGACAACAAAGAUCUUGCAACAUUUUAUUAUGAUUAUCUUUGGAUUAACUUUCCUACUUGAGAUUUAGCAUUUGAAGUUUUGUCGAAUGAAGAAUUUCUGUGAUUUUUUUUCCUUUAGAACGAUACACUUACUUAGAGCUCUGAAAUAUAUUUAGAGAUCCCACAGCAAGGAUAUCUCGUUUAGUCUGUCUUUGCUUAUUUAUCUACAUGGCCGUGCUCUGCUUGUAAGCACACCAUGUUUGAAGGAGGAUAUUACAUUUUUCCUAUAAUAAAAUGUUGUUUUUCGAAAUAAGCUUCUAUCCAUUUUCUAACAAACUUACAACAGAUUCCGAUACUCUGAGUAUAUUCUUCAAGUAUUCUAUACAUUGUUCCAAUGAUAUUGCGUUCGACUUAGACAUAAAUAUGAAGCUUUCAUCAAAAUAUUCAAUUUAGAAAUUCUAUUUUUAGCUAGGAUACUGAAGUGAGCUAUCUUCAACACACACAACCAAGUUUGGUUUCAAUACCUAAUAUAUAGGUGCAAUCUAUAUUCCUUUUAUAUCUAUUUGAAUUAUUUCCUCACUUGUGCAUUUGGUUGAAAUGGUUUAGUGGCUUGAUACCAUCCGAUCUCUCCUAACAAAUCCAGAGUAUUCUCAUAUAUUGUUCCAAUGAUAUUGCGUCAGAUUAAGACAUAGCUAUGAAGAUUUCAACAAAAUAUUCAAUUUAGAAAUUCUAUUUUUAUUUAGGAUACUGAAGUGAGCUAUCUUCAACACUAAGUUUGGUUUCAAUACCUAACACAUAGGUGCAUUCUAUAAGUCACAAUCUACAAUCUACGUGUGUAUUCCCUUUAUAUCUAUUGGAAUUAUUUCUUCAUUUGUUCAUUUGGUUGAAAUGGUUUAGUGGUCUGAUACCAUUCGAUCUCUCCUAACAAAUCCAGAGUUGUACUCCCUUGUCUCAACAUUCUAUAUUUAAAUAAGAACAUAAACAGUAGCAAUGCGUUUCUUUAUUCGUGCAAAGUGCAAGUGUUCGGAUCUUUUUCCAAAAGCUUGCACUUUGCACGAAUAAAAGGAAACGCAUUGGUACUUUUUAUAUUUUUAUUUUAUACUUUAUAGAACUCAUCUCUUCUAAUACAUUGUGUAUUGUGGUCUUCAUUGACCCGGGCUUCAAACAUGGCGUUGCUAUUUUCUUUGGUUAUCUAGCUAUAUGAAUGGAAAUGACCUCAUAAAGCUAGGUUACCGAAGCUA
This 3624-nucleotide Piwi-interacting RNA is filed under the name Cordylochernes scorpioides. The stretch from base 3556 to 3624 matches the Rfam family "mir-9/mir-79 microRNA precursor family". The record is from RNAcentral. Lineage: Eukaryota; Metazoa; Arthropoda; Arachnida; Pseudoscorpiones; Chernetidae.